This 391-nucleotide unclassified non-coding RNA is filed under the name soil metagenome. RNAcentral describes it as "partial contains 5.8S ribosomal RNA, internal transcribed spacer 2, and large subunit ribosomal RNA". The stretch from base 1 to 122 matches the Rfam family "5.8S ribosomal RNA", at positions 35 to 154 of the family's 154-position model. The record is from RNAcentral.
GAUGAAGAACGCAGCGAAAUGCGAUACUUGGUGUGAAUUGCAGAAUCCCGUGAACCAUCGAGUCUUUGAACGCAAGUUGCGCCCGAAGCCAUUAGGCCGAGGGCACGCCUGCCUGGGCGUCACACGUCGUUGCCCCCCCAUCUACUCCUUCGGGAUUGCGGGGGGCGGAUGAUGGCCUCCCGUGCGCCUCGUCGCGCGGUUGGCAUAAAUGCCAAGUCCUCGGCGACGCACGCCACGACAAUCGGUGGUUGCGAAACCUCGGUUGCCCGUCGUGUGCGGUCGUCGCGCAUCGAGGGCUCGAAAAAAUUGCCGGGCUCCGGCUCGGCUUUCAACGCGACCCCAGGUCAGGCGGGGUUACCCGCUGUAUUUAAGCAUAUCAAUAAGCGGAGGA